This 216-nucleotide unclassified non-coding RNA is filed under the name uncultured Sarcodon. Its description in RNAcentral is "sequence contains ITS1". The record is from RNAcentral. Lineage: Eukaryota; Fungi; Basidiomycota; Agaricomycetes; Thelephorales; Thelephoraceae.
AUGGAAAAUAUUUACAUUGUAUGUGAAAGGUUGUAGCUGGCCUUUUUUUAGGAAUUGUGCACACCUGGAUCAUCAUGUAUAAUAACCAUUCAAUACUCUUAUUACCCUUGUGCACAACCUGUAGCUUGACCAUUUUUAACAAAAUUGGUUGAGUUAUGAAUGCCUUUCAAUUUACACAUUAUGAAGUUUGGGGUCAUUAUAUCAAAUAAUGUAUAA